ACAGAGGGUGCAAGCGUUGUUCGGAAUUAUUGGGCGUAAAGCGCGUGUAGGCGGCUUGACAAGUCAAAUGUGAAAGCCCACGGCUCAACCGUGGAAGUGCGUUUGAAACUGUCGAGCUUGAGUGCCGGAGAGGAUGGCGGAAUUCCGCAAGUAGAGGUGAAAUUCGUAGAGAUGCGGGGGAACACCGGUGGCGAAGGCGGCCAUCUGGACGGCAACUGACGCUGAGACGCGAAAGCGUGGGGAGCAAACAGGA
RNAcentral lists this ribosomal RNA (253 nucleotides) under uncultured prokaryote. RNAcentral describes it as "partial 16S ribosomal RNA". It matches the Rfam family "Bacterial small subunit ribosomal RNA", at positions 525 to 777 of the family's 1533-position model. The record is from RNAcentral.